AAUCUAUACGGUGAAACUGCGAAUGGCUCAUUAAAUCAGUUAUCGUUUAUUUGAUAGUACCUUACUACUUGGAUAACCGUGGUAAUUCUAGAGCUAAUACAUGCUAAAAACCCCAACUCCGGGAGGGGUGUAUUUAUUAGAUAAAAAACCAACGCCCUUCGGGGCUCCUUGGUGAUUCAUAAUAACUAAACGAAUCGCAUGGCCUUGCGCCGGCGAUGGUUCAUUCAAAUUUCUGCCCUAUCAACUUUCGAUGGUAGGAUAGUGGCCUACCAUGGUAUCAACGGGUAACGGGGAAUUAGGGUUCUAUUCCGGAGAGGGAGCCUGAGAAACGGCUACCACAUCCAAGGAAGGCAGCAGGCGCGCAAAUUACCCAAUCCCGACACGGGGAGGUAGUGACAAUAAAUACUGAUACAGGGCUCUUACGGGUCUUGUAAUUGGAAUGAGUACAAUUUAAAUCCCUUAACGAGGAACAAUUGGAGGGCAAGUCUGGUGCCAGCAGCCGCGGUAAUUCCAGCUCCAAUAGCGUAUAUUAAAGUUGUUGCAGUUAAAAAGCUCGUAGUUGAACCUUGGGCCUGGCUGGCCGGUCCGCCUCACCGCGUGCACUGGUCCGGCCGGGCCUUUCCUUCUGGGGAUCCGCAUGUCCUUUACUGGGUGUGUCGGGGAACCAGGACUUUUACUUUGAAAAAAUUAGAGUGUUCAAAGCAGGCCUUUGCUCGAAUACAUUAGCAUGGAAUAAUAGAAUAGGACGUGCGGUUCUAUUUUGUUGGUUUCUAGGACCGCCGUAAUGAUUAAUAGGGAUAGUCGGGGGCAUCAGUAUUCAAUUGUCAGAGGUGAAAUUCUUGGAUUUAUUGAAGACUAACUACUGCGAAAGCAUUUGCCAAGGAUGUUUUCAUUAAUCAGUGAACGAAAGUUAGGGGAUCGAAGACGAUCAGAUACCGUCGUAGUCUUAACCAUAAACUAUGCCGACUAGGGAUCGGGCGAUGUUACUAUUCUGACUCGCUCGGCACCUUACGAGAAAUCAAA
RNAcentral lists this ribosomal RNA (1023 nucleotides) under Acrogenospora verrucispora. RNAcentral describes it as "SSU rRNA". It matches the Rfam family "Eukaryotic small subunit ribosomal RNA", at positions 71 to 1102 of the family's 1831-position model. Lineage: Eukaryota; Fungi; Ascomycota; Dothideomycetes; Minutisphaerales; Acrogenosporaceae. The record is from RNAcentral.